AUGGGCAACGUGGUGGAGGCGGCGGCCGCGAUCUCGCCGGAGCUCGGGGACGCGCUGGCCAAGGUGGCCGUGUUCGCGCUCGUGCAGGGGCUGGUCUACCUCAUCCUGCGCAAGUCCUCGGACGUCUUCUCCACGGCCAGCGCGGCGAGGUCGCUCAGCUUCCGGCCGAUGCGGAGCAUGAGCGUCCGCCGCGUGCUGGCGGCAUUCUCCGACGUCCCCGUCGGCGUUCCCGACGAUGCCGUCUCCUCCGUGGCGCCGCAGGCCGGUGAUGCCGACCGGCGGGCAGACUAG
This 291-nucleotide ribosomal RNA is filed under the name Triticum aestivum (bread wheat). RNAcentral describes it as "partial small subunit ribosomal RNA". The record is from RNAcentral. Lineage: Eukaryota; Viridiplantae; Streptophyta; Magnoliopsida; Poales; Poaceae.